UUAAACAUAUAGCAUAGUGCAUAUAGACAACGUUGAUUAUU
This 41-nucleotide unclassified non-coding RNA is filed under the name Leishmania tarentolae. RNAcentral describes it as "guide RNA". Lineage: Eukaryota; Euglenozoa; Kinetoplastea; Trypanosomatida; Trypanosomatidae. The record is from RNAcentral.